CGGCACGCUGCGGGGGGCGCUGUGCCGGUUGCUGGGAGGGUGGCAGGCGGCUCCGGUGGACCUGCCGCAGACACGCCUGCGGCAGCUCCACCGGGACCAGCUGACCAUCUGCAGAAACGCCUGCGGAAGGUCCACCGGAGCCGCGGGACAGGCGAGCGGCAGAGCGCCCCCGCGGCGUGCCACCGUGCUUGGGGCGGCCCUGUUUGGGAGGGUCCGUCUGUGCUCCCCUCAGGUGGAGAUGCAGAGGCAGUUUGGGGGUGUUGGUCCGUGCUCCCCUCGGGCGAGUAGUUGAGAAGCAGUUGGGGGGGUGUCUGUGCUCCCCUCAGGGGGGGUGCAGAGGCAGUUGGGGGGGUCGGUCCACGCUCCCCUCAGGGGGGGUGCAGAGGCAGUUUGGAGGGGUGGGUCUGCGCUCCCCUCAGGCGGGGGUGCAGAGGCAGUUUGGGGGGUCGGUCCGCGCUCCCCUCAGGCGGGGGUGCAGAGGCAGUUGGGGGGGGUCGGUCUGCGCUCCCCUCAGGCGGGGGUGCAGAGGCAGUUUGGGGGGGGGCGGUCCGUGCUCCCCUCAGGGGGGGUGCAGAGGCAGUUUGGGGGGGUCGGUCCGCGCUCCCCUCAGGGGGGGUGCAGAGGCAGUUUGGGGGGGUCGGUCCGCGCUCCCCUCAGGGGGGGUGCAGAGGCAGUUUGGGGGGGUCGGUCCGCGCUCCCCUCAGGGGGGGUGCAGAGGCAGUUGGGGGGGUCGGUCCGCGCUCCCCUCAGGGGGGGUGCAGAGGCAGUUGGGGGGGUCGGUCCGCGCUCCCCUCAGGGGGGGUGCAGAGGCAGUUGGGGGGGUCGGUCCGCGCUCCCCUCAGGGGGGGUGCAGAGGCAGUUUGGGGGGGUCGGUCCGCGCUCCCCUCAGGGGGGGUGCAGAGGCAGUUUGGGGGGGUCGGUCCGCGCUCCCCUCAGGGGGGGUGCAGAGGCAGUUGGGGGGGGUCGGUCCGCGCUCCCCUCAGGGGGGGUGCAGAGGCAGUUGGGGGGGUCGGUCCGCGCUCCCCUCAGGGGGGGUGCAGAGGCAGUUUGGGGGGGGUCGGUCCGUGCUCCCCUCAGGGGGGGUGCAGAGGCAGUGUGGGGGGGUCGGUCCGUGCUCCCCUCAGGGGGGGUGCAGAGGCAGUUUGGGGGGGUCGGUCCGCGCUCCCCUCAGGGGGGGUGCAGAGGCAGUUUGGGGGGGGUCGGUCCGCGCUCCCCUCAGGGGGGGUGCAGAGGCAGUUGGGGGGGGUCGGUCCGUGCUCCCCUCAGGGGGGGUGCAGAGGCAGUUUGGGGGGGUCGGUCCGCGCUCCCCUCAGGGGGGGUGCAGAGGCAGUGUUGGGGGGGUCGGUCCGCGCUCCCCUCAGGGGGGUGCAGAGGCAGUUGGGGGGGUCGGUCCGCGCUCCCCUCAGGGGGGGUGCAGAGGCAGUUGGGGGGUCGGUCCGCGCUCCCCUCAGGGGGGGUGCAGAGGCAGUUUGGGGGGGUCGGUCCGCGCUCCCCUCAGGGGGGGUGCAGAGGCAGUUUGGGGGGUCGGUCCGUGCUCCCCUCAGGGGGGGUGCAGAGGCAGUUUGGGGGGG
Long non-coding RNA from Gopherus evgoodei (Goodes thornscrub tortoise), 1571 nucleotides. The record is from Ensembl. NCBI's taxonomy places the organism in Eukaryota, Metazoa, Chordata, Testudines, Testudinidae.